RNAcentral lists this ribosomal RNA (357 nucleotides) under Acinetobacter baumannii. RNAcentral's name for it is "bacterial SSU rRNA". It matches the Rfam family "Bacterial small subunit ribosomal RNA", at positions 88 to 449 of the family's 1533-position model. Lineage: Bacteria; Pseudomonadati; Pseudomonadota; Gammaproteobacteria; Moraxellales; Moraxellaceae. The record is from RNAcentral.
GGAACUAGCGGCGGACGGGUGAGUAAUGCUUAGGAAUCUGCCUAUUAGUGGGGGACAACAUCUCGAAAGGGAUGCUAAUACCGCAUACGUCCUACGGGAGAAAGCAGGGGAUCUUCGGACCUUGCGCUAAUAGAUGAGCCUAAGUCGGAUUAGCUAGUUGGUGGGGUAAAGGCCUACCAAGGCGACGAUCUGUAGCGGGUCUGAGAGGAUGAUCCGCCACACUGGGACUGAGACACGGCCCAGACUCCUACGGGAGGCAGCAGUGGGGAAUAUUGGACAAUGGGGGGAACCCUGAUCCAGCCAUGCCGCGUGUGUGAAGAAGGCCUUUGGUUGUAAUGCACUUUAGGGGAGGGGGAG